This 177-nucleotide ribosomal RNA is filed under the name uncultured Mycobacterium sp. Its description in RNAcentral is "partial 16S ribosomal RNA". It matches the Rfam family "Bacterial small subunit ribosomal RNA", at positions 336 to 525 of the family's 1533-position model. The record is from RNAcentral. Lineage: Bacteria; Bacillati; Actinomycetota; Actinomycetes; Mycobacteriales; Mycobacteriaceae.
UUCCUACGGGAGGCAGCAGUGGGGAAUAUUGCACAAUGGGCGCAAGCCUGAUGCAGCGACGCCGCGUGAGGGAUGACGGCCUUCGGGUUGUAAACCUCUUUCGCCAGGGACGAAGCGCAAGUGACGGUACCUGGAGAAGAAGGACCGGCCAACUACGUGCCAGCAGCCGCGGUAAUA